CUGCAGGCCCCGCUGUGCCGCGGACGUUGCGGGGCCAGGAGAGACGCGCUCACCCCUCGCACCCCCAGCACGGCAAUGCCCGGUGCUACCGCGCACGGAGCCUUCAGGUCCGGCCCCUCACGGCGAUAGAGGCCGCAGAGCCGUUAUACAGAAGCCCCAGCCCCACCCGCGGCAGCGCGAUGCGGCCCCUCACCCUGGCAACGGAACCGGCACCGACCCGCGAUCCGCCGCACCGGUAGCGGAAGUGGAGCGCGCCGGAAGCGGAGGGAUGGCGGAUUGAUAGGAAAUGGAAGAAGAAAGGAGAGCUGAGCACAGCGCUGCAAGAACUGUCCCUCACAUUGUGUUGCAGACCUGAGCAAGGUGCAAUAUAAGAAAAAGCUGCACAGAAGGCUGGUUUUCCACAGUCUUUUUUUCUUCUGACCGGGAAUUAAUUUUAUGCGUUUCCUGCUUGGAUACAGAUUUUAAGUUUUGUUCUAUAUUCAGAUUUGAGCAUAAAAAGUGCUCUGGUUUCCAGAAAAGCGAUGCAAAUGGGAGGUUACUUCACUGACUGUUCGUGUCAGGUGUAGCUUCUGACUGCACUCAAAUCCCUGUUGAACCAGUUAGUGUGUAUAUAUUCUAGUCAUGAAGGGCUUUUCAUGCUAGUUCCCCUCUACAACUAUCGUGCUCUGAGGCAGCAUGGUACAGUAGUGCUGGAAAGCUUCCAAAGUUACAAGUAGUAAUUAAAGUCACACCCUGUCAUAAAACUAUGCACCCUGGAGGCCUUUUUAAACAAACUCAGGCUACAGAAAUGAGACUAUAAUGUGACCAGCUCUUUACUUACAAUCUUUUUGAUACAUUCUAAUAACUUCCUAAUUGGCCUUGAUAAAACUCUCUUGUGGAGAAGAGGCAUUAAUUGUUUUCCUGUUUGGUUUUGGUUUGAAAAAACUAUUCAAUGUUUCUAAAUGAUAUUUCAUUUUGGGUAUGAUGAUGGUGUUUUAGUGUCCUGAGCCAUGACUAGGACUACUUUGUGCUCAACACUGCUGAAAAAUGCUCUGAUUCUGGUGUUCAUGUGGCACAGAAAAAUAUGUCCUUAAACUCAGCUGUAAGAACACACGGUGGUGCUAAAUCCUAACAUUAAUAAGUGCAUAGUGUUAAAGGAGUUUCACUAAGACCAUAUAAUUGCAACUCAGAGCCCAAACAGCAGCAUCUUUGUACAGAAAAGUUUGUUUUGGGGUGGUACUCUUUGGGUUUACACUGUGGUAAAUUCUAGCAGGGCAAGGAAGAGGAAAAAGCAGUGAGGAAAUCUUAAAGCAAAUGUCCGCUCUGUGGCAUCCCGAUAUACCCUAUGCCUGGGAUGCUCUAGGGUGAAACUAAAGAAACUUGUUCUAAGCAGGCAGUAACAGCAAUGACAUGUGAGAAUGUCCAUCUCUUCAAGUCUACACUGUCCAAGUGUUUCCAGCCUAAGGCAGAUUUGUGCACAAAUGCUGUCCUAACCUCUUAAAUGUAAUACAACAGACAGCGUGGUUUACUGGACACUGCCAUCACUGUGCCCCAGGAACAGCAAUGUAUGAAUGCAAGCUCUGAUUCUGAAUCAGUGUGUGACUGUGGGCAAAACAGUGAAACUUUGCAGUGUUCAAUAACGCAAUGUGCUUCAGUAGCUGGCAGCUCAGCUGGAGACAUAGAAACGUCUCUGGUUUGAAAUGAAACACAUUUUCAAGUUAUCACUAAUACAGUGAGUCUCUGUCUUGGCUUCAUUAUCAAUAAGGUGGAAGUUGGACCAAUAUUUGUACAGCUUCCUCACAUGAGUUUUUUCCAAAUUAUUUACAUAGUGUUGGCACUGUGAGAUGUUAUAAAUACUAGAGGUUUGUACCCAUCUAAUAUGUGCUGCUCUGAUUGCUGAAUGUGACCAUUAUUCUUCUCCCACUAUUCAGCCUAAUUAUUUUUAUUUUAUUUACUUAAAUUCUUUGUAUUCUAAAUCAAGCCCCACUGGCAAGGGAUCUGGGGAGAGAACUGUGAUUCUUUUAUUCCCCGAACAAAAACUGAUUCAUCAUUUUCCUUACAUCACCUCUCAUCUCUCCAGCUUCUCAACACAGACAUUGGUAUGGCUUUCCCUUAGGUAAGUUGUAAAUCGCAGCAGCUGUGUAUUUGUUGGGAGUCAGCACUCCUCAGGGCUGUUAAAGUGGUAAAAAUGUAUGUAAUCAUAUGAGAUGUAAUUAUGAGAGAUACUGCAGAAGUGGUUUCCUGAAGAGAGUGAAAUAAAGAUGAAACUGUGAUACUGGGACAAGAUAAAUUGCUAGAAAGCUGUGGAAAGCUGAGAGAAUGACAGGAAAAAAUAAGAGUCAAUAUGAAGCUGAGAGAUGGGGAGAGAUUUAGGAAACAGGGUUAUAGACAAUGAAAAGAAGUUCUGAGAUGGGGUUAAGGAGUGAGACCUGCUGAAUCAGGCAGAUACAUUUGCUAUGUAUGGCUUCCAUUGAUGUGUUAAGGUUGUACAUACAAGGCACAAAAUCAGGUUUCACAGCCAAUCUUAAUUUUCGUAUGUAAUCGUUGUGUGACUACAUCUCACAGCGCGACCUACUGCUUUCACAUGUAUAUGCAUGAAUAUUUCAUGAAACAAUUCACUGUGAAAGAAGCUUCAAAUAAAACUGCCUGUUUUAUUGUC
Coturnix japonica (Japanese quail) is the source of this 2638-nucleotide non-coding RNA. The record is from RefSeq and is a predicted model, not a curated record. NCBI's taxonomy places the organism in Eukaryota, Metazoa, Chordata, Aves, Galliformes, Phasianidae.